Molecule: long non-coding RNA, 931 nt
Filed under: Ananas comosus (pineapple)
Lineage: Eukaryota; Viridiplantae; Streptophyta; Magnoliopsida; Poales; Bromeliaceae
Description: long non-coding RNA (ACOM_LNC026305)
Source: RNAcentral
UUCAAUUAUUUGCAUUACUUUACCAACUUUAAUUUCUGCUACAUCUUAAUAAAAAAAAUUAUGAAAAAAAAUUAAAUAUCUGUACAAAUAGUAUAAAAUAUACACCGUUUAUAUAUAUUUUAUAUAAUUUUUAUAGUAUAUUGUAAUAUAUUAUAUUAUUUUUGCGUAAUAUACUAUACUAUUCGUAAUUUAGUGUAAAAAUAAUAUAAAAUAUGUAUUAAUAAUACAUAUGUUGCACUACUUAUACAGAUAUUGCACUAUUUGAGAGGAUGUUAUACUUUUUCAUCUUAUUAAUUAUAUUUUAUUCUUUUUAUUUUGUUUUGAAUGAGAAUUCUCGUUUCACGAGAAAGAUAAUGUAAUUAUGGUUUUGCAGUUGUUAUUUCUAAAAAAUUUGACACUUAAUGGUUUAAUAGUUGUAUUUUUUUAGGCAUUUAAAACACGUAAUUUUUAUGCAUUUGGAAAGAAGGGUAGUUUGGUCAUCUUUCUGAAAAUUUGGCCCGAUUCUGCAAAAUUCAAAAAGACAGCCUACUUUUGCAACAGCUCAAAAUUAAUAGAUUUUUUUAUACAAAUUGGCUUUUUUUUCGUACAAAUGACCAUAGUAAAUUUAUAUUUAAUUAUUUAGUCUUUUUUUGCCACGCGAGUGCUAUUUUAGUAUUUUUAAGUUGAACACGGUGAUUCAAUCGUCGUGCUCAUAUUCACAUUUUCGUCUCUGAUUUUUAACUUAGAGCUAUAAAAAAUAAAAAAUAAAAAAAUACGGUAGUUCAAUCACUAUGUUUUAACACGGUGUUUAAAUCACUAUGUUCAACUUAAAAACAUCAUUUAGACACUUGCGUAGAAGGCAGAGGGUUAUUUUUGUAAAUAUAAAUUUGUCAGAAUCAAUUUAUAUAUUAAAAAAAAAACUUUGUGAGGGCUAAAUGCAAAAUUAAAAAAA